GGACUGACUGGGACUCCUCUAGGCGUCGGACGCGCUAUCAAACUCUUCAUCCAAGAGAUCGCCUUCGUCAACAUCUGGCCAAAUCAACAAGCCAGGUGAGUACCAUGAAAGUACUCGCAAGACAGUUCGGACAUAAGAUAUAACAAA
This is a non-coding RNA of Aegilops tauschii subsp. strangulata, 147 nucleotides long. The record is from RefSeq and is a predicted model, not a curated record. NCBI's taxonomy places the organism in Eukaryota, Viridiplantae, Streptophyta, Magnoliopsida, Poales, Poaceae.